AUACGUAGGGAGCGAGCGUUGUCCGGAUUUACUGGGUGUAAAGGGUGCGUAGGCGGCUCUGCAAGUCAGGUGUGAAAACCAUUGGCUUAACUGAUGGACUGCAUUUGAAACUGUGGGGCUUGAGUGGAGUAGAGGCAGACGGAAUUCCCGGUGUAGCGGUGAAGUGCGUAGAGAUCGGGAAGAACACCAGUGGCGAAGGCGGUCUGCUGGGCUCUAACUGACGCUGAGGCACGAAAGCAUGGGUAGCAAACAGGAUUAGAUACCCUGGUAGUCCAUGCCGUAAACGAUGAUUACUAGGUGUGGGGAGUCUGACCCUCUCCGUGCCGGAGUUAACACAAUAAGUAAUCCGCCUGGGGAGUACGGUCGCAAGAUUAAA
Molecule: ribosomal RNA, 376 nt
Filed under: uncultured bacterium
Lineage: Bacteria
Description: bacterial SSU rRNA
Rfam family: Bacterial small subunit ribosomal RNA
Source: RNAcentral